RNAcentral lists this ribosomal RNA (239 nucleotides) under uncultured Gardnerella sp. RNAcentral describes it as "partial 16S ribosomal RNA". It matches the Rfam family "Bacterial small subunit ribosomal RNA", at positions 116 to 355 of the family's 1533-position model. Lineage: Bacteria; Bacillati; Actinomycetota; Actinomycetes; Bifidobacteriales; Bifidobacteriaceae. The record is from RNAcentral.
CGUGACCAACCUGCCCCAUGCUCCAGAAUAGCUCUUGGAAACGGGUGGUAAUGCUGGAUGCUCCAACUUGACGCGUGUCUUGUUGGGAAAGUGUUUAGUGGCAUGGGAUGGGGUCGCGUCCUAUCAGCUUGUAGGCGGGGUAAUGGCCCACCUAGGCUUCGACGGGUAGCCGGCCUGAGAGGGCGGACGGCCACAUUGGGACUGAGAUACGGCCCAGACUCCUACGGGAGGCAGCAGCC